Molecule: transfer RNA, 71 nt
Filed under: Loxodonta africana (African savanna elephant)
Lineage: Eukaryota; Metazoa; Chordata; Mammalia; Proboscidea; Elephantidae
Rfam family: tRNA
About the family: Transfer RNA (tRNA) molecules are approximately 80 nucleotides in length. Their secondary structure includes four short double-helical elements and three loops (D, anti-codon, and T loops).
Source: Rfam by way of RNAcentral
GCAGAGGUGGUUCAGCGGUAGAAAGCUUCUCUUCCAUAGGGAAGACCUGGGUUCAAUUCCCAGCCAGUACA